CCCUUUUUCCUGCUGGUAGCUUGCCAUUUCUCACGCAUGCCCUUCACUGCAGCAUGGUAUGAAGAACAUGGGGACGGGGAGCCUCUCCAACUGGUGGUUGAGCACGGCGGAGCGCCUCAAGGCUGAAGCACUAGAACACGUUUACCACCCUCGUCUGCUGGACGGUACGCUGCGGAAAGAGCACAGCGCCUGAAUAUUCAAUCAUGAAUGAAAAAACAGAAAAUUCAAAAAAAAUGAAUGAAAAAACAGAAUGGAUCAAAUGACUGUAUGACAAAUUGAUGGCCAAAUAUUUCUGUUUUGUGUGAGAAUUUAUAGGGUUUACCUUUUUUUCCUAGCAUGCCUCAUGAGGAUUAAUGUAGAUGCUUCGUUGGGGGCCUCCAACAAGUAAUAGUAAGAUUGUGUUACUCCCUCCGACCCAUAUUAAUUGUUGUUGCUUUAGUACAACUUUGUACUAAAGAUGGUCUGUCUAGUUUAGUUCCUGCAGAAUAUUGUCUAAGCAUUUGCAUCAAGGUCCUUCGUGGUGAAGAACUAGUACAUGUUCCUAGUGACAUCAAAUAGGGUGUAGGCCUGGUGGGACGUUUUACCUAGCAUCUCCCUUCACAAAGCUCAUCAUGUCCCACUCCUCUGCCUGGUUAGAGCAUCGCAAUUCGCAAUAGGGCCUUCCCACCUGCCAAAAACAAAGAACCUCACUAAUAGUUCAGUUCAUACGCAUUGGUGAUUUGGCGUAAAGUAACAUGGUCCUUUCACGUGUCGCAAAUACGGCAAAUUUGACAAUUUUAACCCGUGGAUGAAAUCAUUUCAUAAAAUGAACUGCACCUAAAAAAAUUUCACUCAGCUGAC
Molecule: long non-coding RNA, 840 nt
Filed under: Triticum aestivum (bread wheat)
Lineage: Eukaryota; Viridiplantae; Streptophyta; Magnoliopsida; Poales; Poaceae
Description: long non-coding RNA (TAES_LNC008896)
Source: RNAcentral